AGUUAUGUCUAGAGGAGAAUGAGAAAGAUUAACUAAUGUAUUUACCUAUCAAUGUUUUUGAGCAUCUCAGAAAAUACUUUCGUUCUUUUAAAUACUUCAUAUCAGGACUCAAAGUUGGCCAUAAAUCAUAACCUUUUAGUAUAAAACUGGUGUUUGCAAAAAAAGCAUCUAUUGGUUAUGGGGGUGUUUGCUAUAGCCUAUAGCUUAAAAUUCUAUAUUUCAGUCAAGUAAACCUAGUAAUGUGUCUUGAUUCAGUUUAAACUGAUUUAUUGCAUUUUUAAACAGGCCUUUGCUAUGGGAAGUUG
This 305-nucleotide unclassified non-coding RNA is filed under the name Hevea brasiliensis (rubber tree). The record is from RNAcentral. Lineage: Eukaryota; Viridiplantae; Streptophyta; Magnoliopsida; Malpighiales; Euphorbiaceae.